CCUACGGGAGGCAGCAGUGGGGAAUAUUGCGCAAUGGGCGAAAGCCUGACGCAGCGACGCCGCGUGAGGGAUGAAGGUCUUCGGAUCGUAAACCUCGGUCAGCAGGGAAGAACGGUCACUGUGCUAAUCAGCAGUGAAUUGACGGUACCGGCAAAGGAAGAACCGGCUAACUCCGUGCCAGCCGCCGCGGUAAUACGGAGGGUGCGAGCGUUAAUCGGAAUUACUGGGCGUAAAGCGCUCGUAGGCGGUAUGUCAAGUCAAGGGUGAAAUCCCCGCGCUCAACGUGGGAACUGCCUUUGAAACUGGCAAACUGGAGUGUGUGAGAGGAUAGUGGAAUUCCAGGUGUAGGAGUGAAAUCCGUAGAUAUCUGGAGGAACAUCAGUGGCGAAGGCGACUAUCUGGCACAUAACUGACGCUGAGGAGCGAAAGCGUGGGUAGCAAACAGGAUUAGAUACCCGGGUAGUC
This 465-nucleotide ribosomal RNA is filed under the name uncultured bacterium. RNAcentral describes it as "partial 16S ribosomal RNA". It matches the Rfam family "Bacterial small subunit ribosomal RNA", at positions 338 to 795 of the family's 1533-position model. The record is from RNAcentral.